RNAcentral lists this ribosomal RNA (760 nucleotides) under uncultured bacterium. RNAcentral's name for it is "bacterial SSU rRNA". It matches the Rfam family "Bacterial small subunit ribosomal RNA", at positions 637 to 1398 of the family's 1533-position model. The record is from RNAcentral.
UGGUCUUGAGUAUGGUCAAGGCAGGCGGAAUGUGUAAUGUAGCGGUGAAAUGCUUAGAUAUUACACAGAACACCGAUUGCGAAGGCAGCUUGCUGGGCCAAUACUGACGCUGAUGCACGAAAGCGUGGGGAUCGAACAGGAUUAGAUACCCCGGUAGUCCACGCCGUAAACGAUGAUCACUCGCUGUUAGCGAUAUACAGUUAGCGGCUAAGCAAAAGCAUUAAGUGAUCCACCUGGGGAGUACGGCCGCAAGGCUGAAACUCAAAGGAAUUGACGGGGGCCCGCACAAGCGGAGGAACAUGUGGUUUAAUUCGAUGAUACGCGAGGAACCUUACCUGGGCUUAAAUGUAGAGUGCAUGAGGUAGAAAUACUUCUUUUCUUAGGAACUCUCUGCAAGGUGCUGCAUGGUUGUCGUCAGCUCGUGCCGUGAGGUGUCGGGUUAAGUCCCAUAACGAGCGCAACCCUUAUCGUUAGUUGCCAGCGGGUAAUGCCGGGGACUCUAGCGAAACUGCCGGUGUAAACCGAGAGGAAGGUGGGGAUGACGUCAAAUCAGCACGGCCCUUAUGUCCAGGGCUACACACGUGUUACAAUGGCCGGUACAGAGGGCAGCUACCUGGAGACAGGAUGCGAAUCUCGAAAGCCGGUCUCAGUUCGGAUCGGAAGUCUGCAACUCGACUCCGUGAAGCUGGAUUUCGCUAGUAAUCGCGCAUCAGCCAUGGCGCGGUGAAUACGUUCCCGGGCCUUGUACACACCGCCCGUC